ACAAAAAAAAAAUUAUAAAAUUGUUUAAAAACUUAUAUACAAAAACUAGAAAGUUUCUAGUUUUUACCCAAGCUAACUCCAAAUUAAUUAACCAAUAAGUUAUAUAGUUAACUUAUAAUCCUCAAAUUAAUUUAUAAGGUUAUAUUUCCAUAACCAAUAAUAAUCGGUUAGCAUAAAAAUAGGUUAAAGGAUGCUAUAAUUGAUCUCAAUCAAAUGUACCUGGAUGCACAAGCUAAUCUAUUGACAGAGAAUUUUCAAGCAGCCUUGUUAAAAGAUUAUCGAGAAUGUAAAGCCGACGCAAAAGAAUAUUUCAAGAUGGUCGGAGGGUAUGAAGAUAUCCCGAGAGCAUUGGCCAAUCCUUCGGAUGGUGUGCUUGUUGACAAUUGGGCGAAGACAGUUGAGUAUUUUUAAACUGACGAACACAUAAUUGCUUCAGAAAGGAACAAAAAAAUCCGUGAAAAGCAAACAAAUGUGAAUCGUGGGGGUUCGAGCUCAUAUAGAAGUACUUGCUAUAAGAAGAACCUUAAGAGAGUGGAAACAUUUCACAAAGCUCAUACCGAUAAGAAUGGUGUAUUUGUUACUGCUGAAUUGGAACAACAAUAUAAUCGGUUAGUUGAAGAGCUGUUAGAACAAACUCAAGGUGAAAGUGAGUUAACACCCGCUCAAGAAAGAGCUACAUUUGAGAAAGUAUUAGGAGAGCGACGUGGCCACAUUAGAGGCAUUGGACGCAAACCUUCUGGUCUCCCGACGAUUCCACAGCCUUCGCAACCAUGACAACCACCAUCACAACCA
This is a non-coding RNA of Lactuca sativa (garden lettuce), 792 nucleotides long. The record is from RefSeq and is a predicted model, not a curated record. NCBI's taxonomy places the organism in Eukaryota, Viridiplantae, Streptophyta, Magnoliopsida, Asterales, Asteraceae.